Molecule: ribosomal RNA, 631 nt
Filed under: Salmonella enterica
Lineage: Bacteria; Pseudomonadati; Pseudomonadota; Gammaproteobacteria; Enterobacterales; Enterobacteriaceae
Description: partial 23S ribosomal RNA
Rfam family: Bacterial large subunit ribosomal RNA
Source: RNAcentral
GGGUUGUGAGGUUAAGCGACUAAGCGUACACGGUGGAUGCCCUGGCAGUCAGAGGCGAUGAAGGACGUGCUAAUCUGCGAUAAGCGCCGGUAAGGUGAUAUGAACCGUUAUAACCGGCGAUUUCCGAAUGGGGAAACCCAGUGUGACUCGUCACACUAUCAUUAACUGAAUCCAUAGGUUAAUGAGGCGAACCGGGGGAACUGAAACAUCUAAGUACCCCGAGGAAAAGAAAUCAACCGAGAUUCCCCCAGUAGCGGCGAGCGAACGGGGAGGAGCCCAGAGCCUGAAUCAGCAUGUGUGUUAGUGGAAGCGUCUGGAAAGGCGCGCGAUACAGGGUGACAGCCCCGUACACAAAAGCGCAUGUGCUGUGAGCUCGAUGAGUAGGGCGGGACACGUGGUAUCCUGUCUGAAUAUGGGGGGACCAUCCUCCAAGGCUAAAUACUCCUGACUGACCGAUAGUGAACCAGUACCGUGAGGGAAAGGCGAAAAGAACCCCGGCGAGGGGAGUGAAAAAGAACCUGAAACCGUGUACGUACAAGCAGUGGGAGCCUCUUUAUGGGGUGACUGCGUACCUUUUGUAUAAUGGGUCAGCGACUUAUAUUCUGUAGCAAGGUUAACCGAAUAGGGGAGC